RNAcentral lists this ribosomal RNA (496 nucleotides) under uncultured bacterium. RNAcentral describes it as "partial 16S ribosomal RNA". It matches the Rfam family "Bacterial small subunit ribosomal RNA", at positions 29 to 507 of the family's 1533-position model. The record is from RNAcentral.
AUGAACGCUGGCGGCGUGCCUAAUACAUGCAAGUCGAGCGAACAGAUGAGGAGCUUGCUCCUCUGACGUUAGCGGCGGACGGGUGAGUAACACGUGGAUAACCUACCUAUAAGACUGGGAUAACUUCGGGAAACCGGAGCUAAUACCGGAUAAUAUAUUGAACCGCAUGGUUCCAUAGUGAAAGACGGUUUUGCUUUCACUUAUAGAUUGAUCCGCGCCGCAUUAGCUAGUUGGUAAGGUAACGGCUUACCAAGGCGACGAUGCGUAGCCGACCUGAGAGGGUGAUCGGCCACACGGGAACUGAGACACGGUCCAGACUCCUAAGGGAGGCAGCAGUAGGGAAUCUUCAGAAAUGGGCGAAAGCCUGACGGAGAAACGCCGCGGGAGUGAUGAAGGUCUUCGGAUCGUAAAACUCUGUUAUUAGGGAAGAACAAAUGUGUAAGUAACUAUGCACGUCUUGACGGUACCUAAUCAGAAAGCCACGGCUAACUACGUG